This 506-nucleotide ribosomal RNA is filed under the name uncultured bacterium. RNAcentral's name for it is "partial 16S ribosomal RNA". It matches the Rfam family "Bacterial small subunit ribosomal RNA", at positions 29 to 507 of the family's 1533-position model. The record is from RNAcentral.
ACGAACGCUGGCGGCGUGCCUAAUACAUGCACGUCGAACGCAUUUUCUUUCACCGUAGCUUGCUACACCGAAAGAAAAUGAGUGGCGAACGGGUGAGUAACACGUGGGUAACCUGCCCAUCAGCGGGGGAUAACACUUGGAAACAGGUGCUAAUACCGCAUAAUUCCAUUUACUGCAUGGUAGAUGGAUGAAAGGCGCUUUUGCGUCACUGAUGGAUGGACCCGCGGUGCAUUAGCUAGUUGGUGGGGUAACGGCCUACCAAGGCUGCGAUGCAUAGCCGACCUGAGAGGGUGAUAGGCCACACUGGGACUGAGACACGGCCCAGACUCCUACGGGAGGCAGCAGUAGGGAAUCUUCGGCAAUGGACGCAAGUCUGACCGAGCAACGCCGCGUGAGUGAAGAAGGUUUUCGGAUCGUAAAACUCUGUUGUUAGAAAAGAACAAGGAUGAGAGUGGAAAGUUCAUCCCUUGACGGUAUCUAACCAGAAAGCCACGGCUAACUACGUG